Molecule: ribosomal RNA, 497 nt
Filed under: uncultured bacterium
Lineage: Bacteria
Description: partial 16S ribosomal RNA
Rfam family: Bacterial small subunit ribosomal RNA
Source: RNAcentral
GAUGAACGCUGGCGGCGUGCCUAAUACAUGCAAGUCGAGCGGACGGACGGGGAGCUUGCUCCUCUGACUUUAGCGUCGGGCGGGGGAGUGACACGUGUAGAACCUACCUAUGAGACUGGGAUAACUUCGGGAAACCGUAGCUAAUACCGGAUAAUAUAUUGAGCCGCAUGGUUCAAUAGUGAAAGGCGGUUUUUCUGUCACUUAUAGAUGGAUCCGCGCCGCAUUAGCUAGUUUGUAAGGUAACGGCUUACCAAGGCAACGAUGCGUAGCCGACCUUGGAGGGUGGACGGCCAAACCUGAAACGAGAAAAGGUCCCGAAUACUACGGGAGGGAGCAGUAGGGAAUCUUUCGAAAUGGGGGAAAGCCUGACGGAGCACAGCCGCGUGAGUGAUGAAGGUCUUCGGAGUGUAAAACGCUGUUAGUAGGGAAGAAAAAAUGUGUAACUAACUACGCACGUCUUGACGGUAACCAAUAAGAAAGCCACGGCUAACUACGUG